Long non-coding RNA from Falco peregrinus (peregrine falcon), 1954 nucleotides. RefSeq lists it as uncharacterized. The record is from RefSeq and is a predicted model, not a curated record. The transcript is spliced from 2 exons. NCBI's taxonomy places the organism in Eukaryota, Metazoa, Chordata, Aves, Falconiformes, Falconidae.
ACACCCCAAAAACAAACAUUUAAUACAGAAAAGUGACUUUGCAGUGUCAGAUGUAAAAAAGCAAAGCUUGUGAGAUUGAAGAAAGGCAGUUUAUAACAUCACAUUUGUAUCAUUACAGUAUGUAAGACUGUAUGUACUAUAUAUAAUACCAAAUAACUGUACCAAAAUACAAAUUUUUAUUAAUAUGUAGUGAAACAAACAAAAAAAUCUAAUUAGAAAAAAAUGAGCUAGUAGUUUGUAUGCCUCCAAUCAGUUGUAUAUUGAUGCUAUAUAAUGUAGACAAACAAAAUUCAAAACAAAGUGCAAAGUGUUAUAUAAUUACACAUAAAAAAGGGAAAUAUAUCAGUCAUUAUUUUCUUCUUUACCAAAAACUUCCUAAACAUUCAUACUGUAAAAGCUGUAUAGUUCUUUGUAUAAGUAAAAUAUAAAAGAGCUUUUUACCCUAAAGUAACCAAGAAUGUUUUAACUACAAAUUAUUAACAGGGCUCUUUGACAGAAGUUGUACUGAACUGGUAAGUCACACACUGUCAAACUUCAUAAAGACAUUCAAGAAGGUCACUUACUCGGGCAGUUGUCUCCCUGCUCCAUACGCCACAAAACACAGAGUAUGUCAAAAUAGCAAAUGCAUUUUGCUUUAAGCCAAGACUUCUCUAAACGCUUAGAAGGCUCUUAUAGAGGCAUUAUGGAUUAUUAUUAAUUUUACUUGAUGCACGUGACCUCAAUUAAAUUCUGAAUCUGAGGAGGAAUUGUGUGAGUAAUCGGAGCAGUUUCAUUUCUUAGUUUUGACAGUCUACCUUAAAGCAGUUUAAAUUACAUUUCUUACAUCCUGAACCAUUUAAAAAAUAAGCUUUAAGAAAGCUGGACAAAACUAAAACAAAGCUAACUUAAUCUUGAGAAGUUUUCAUAUGGGAUGCUAAACUUCAGUUUUAAAGCUAAUACUACAGCAAAGAUUUGCUAUAGUGAAACUACCUUCUGUUUUGGUAACAAAAUUAAGUGCUUAAAGUCUUAAAGUGCCUGCAGUCUUACAGUCCUUAAGAAAAGUAACAGAAUCCAAGCAGGAGGUGUGAGAUGGAGGAAACUAUUUCUGAAUUCAGCUCAUGAAGUUUAGCUUUAAAAUUCAAACAAUAUUUGGCCUUUCAAAAUUUGCUAUUUAGCAAAAACACUUUAAAGAAAAUCUUCCAUUUGGGCCUGAUUUUCUGAACUGCUAAGCAGAUGGAGUUCAUCAAGUUUCCACUGAUUUAAAAGUUACAAUGAAUGGAAGUUGAAAGUAGUUGCCAGCUAGGAGAGUAAAGUACAUACAUAAGAACAGACAAUGGAAAUUAAGACGGCAUUGGUGCGCAUCCCUAAAGAGAGUGUUAUUCGUCAUCUCAGAUCACGGAAACCGUAAAGCACACAUUUAGUUCCAGAAUCAACAAGAACAGCAAGGGAAGGCAUAAUCUUCAAAGGAUCCACAACCAAACAUGCAUAUUGCUGCUGCUAAAACUUAUUCAUCAGUUUGGAAGGAGCCAUCACCAAGCAGAUCAUCUACAUACAUAUAUCUGUAUGGAGAUGAGGUGAAAAGUGGUUCCAGAAGAGUUGAGGAAUACUACACUUCUGCUUUGUGCACCAUUUACUUCAGUGCCAAAGACGACCAGGACACACCACUUACCCUGGCAGAGGUACUGUUACGACUCCGCAUAGAACCAAACAAAUUAAUCCAGAACCCAUGCUAACAAUUCUGCUGGUACAAAAUACCUGGGGAUCACGUGCUAGGAAGCUGUAGUAACCUUUCCAGUGGUGUGUGUGUCUACUUUUUUUUUUUUAGUUCAGAAACAACAAGCCAAAUCAACACUGAUUUUCAUCUUACAGCGUAGUUUCCCACUGCCUAUGUGUCAUGUCCCUAUGAACACAGGCCGUUCUUCAGAAAGUUUACUAAGAUAAAGUUAAAACUCUGAAAAUAAAAGAUGCAAAUGUA